Ficedula albicollis (Collared flycatcher) is the source of this 806-nucleotide long non-coding RNA. RefSeq lists it as uncharacterized. The record is from RefSeq and is a predicted model, not a curated record. The transcript is spliced from 3 exons. Lineage: Eukaryota; Metazoa; Chordata; Aves; Passeriformes; Muscicapidae.
CCCAAAGGCAUUGCUACAACUUCUGUGCCUUCAGUUUGCUUUCACAUGCCAGCAUCCUGCAGUCAGGUACAGGAGAAACACGUGUUGGGCUGUGCCUCUUCUGCCACUUUCACCAUCCGGUUCUGACGUGGACUGUACCUGCUGAGAGCAAGGCAGCAGCUGGAAAGCACCAGGGAAUCACAUUAUGUUAGAUCCCUCCAGCUUCGGGCGGUUAACUCAGCCCAUUUCAUAGAACUGGGAGCUUCUGAAGAAAACCCAAUGGAAUAUAUACACAAAUCGCUGGCAAUUCGAGAAGCAGUAGCAGUUCAUGGAGCUGCCCUUCACAAACCUUGAAGUAGCUUUCAUCUUGCUGGCUUUUAUCAUUUUCACCUUGUUUACCCUGGCUUCUAUCUACAGUGACUCCCAUGACAACAAAGAAGAGAAAAGCUACACACAGGAAGAAUACAAGAAAAGGAGAAAAUCCAACAAGAAAAAGAAGCAUUCAAAUAUGACUGAAGUGGUUUAGAGUAUUACCCGAGUCCACUGUUGGAAACACUUGUGAAAGAGGUAUCCCUGGAAGCUGGUCACCUGAAGACAGUGAGAAAACAGAUGUGAGAAAGGAAGGACCUAGUCAUCCAUCAGAUGGAAUCCAGACGUGACAAUUAGAGUUAACGAACCACGACCCAUGGAGCUGCUUCAGCACCUUUUUAUAGCCCCACUUCAUGGCCUUCAUAAAAGUACCAGGGCUUAUUUUACAGAGCACAUCUGCUCUAAAUUUCCAAAGGAGAAACUUUAUAUUCAGAAGCUAUUUUUAGUUUCUUCACCAC